Molecule: unclassified non-coding RNA, 231 nt
Filed under: Hevea brasiliensis (rubber tree)
Lineage: Eukaryota; Viridiplantae; Streptophyta; Magnoliopsida; Malpighiales; Euphorbiaceae
Source: RNAcentral
CAAAGUAGGAGACCGGAAACAGGGGACGAUAUUGGGGGUUUGAUUGGUCAGGUGUUUGAUGUUCGUUUUUCCCUUUUGGGUGUUUGAAUCGUCUUUAAUAGAGAAAAUUACUACUAAUUUGGAUUUCAUCAAUCAGGACUUCAGAAUUCAUGUAAAAGAUGAAAAAAAAAAAGAAAAAAAAAAGAAUUCAUACAAUAGAUGAAUAACAAAAUUAGGAAAUACUCAUUUUUU